This 324-nucleotide long non-coding RNA is filed under the name Gossypium raimondii (Peruvian cotton). Its description in RNAcentral is "long non-coding RNA (GRAI_LNC005516)". Lineage: Eukaryota; Viridiplantae; Streptophyta; Magnoliopsida; Malvales; Malvaceae. The record is from RNAcentral.
GUUUUUGGAUCAAAGUCAAUUGAUUCAUUGUUUGCUAGUUAUUGUAUUGGGGUUCGUCUUGAAUUGAUUGUGAUCGGGAUCUUUUUUUUUUUUUUUUGAAAAUUUGAUUUGGGUUGUUGAAGGAAAAAAGGGAUCCAAUCUGUUGUGCAAAUUCCUGGGUUGGGAAAAAAAUAAAAAAUCAUGACAAGAGGUAGAGGAGAUAAAGAAGAUGAUGAGAAGUACAAUGGCUCCACAUUCAAAUAUUUUUAAAUGCUCUAUUUAUUUUUUUCAAAUCCGAAUAUUGGGACUUCAAUAAUUUAAUUACUAUUUAUAGAAAAUUCAGAU